CUCUUAUCGAGAGUGGUGGAGGGACUGGCCCGAUGAAACCCGGCAACCACCGCCGGAAGGCGGAGAGGUGCCAAUUCCUGCAGGACCUGGGUGGAUCCUGAGAGAUAAGAG
Kyrpidia tusciae DSM 2912 is the source of this 111-nucleotide non-coding RNA. The record is from Rfam. NCBI's taxonomy places the organism in Bacteria, Bacillati, Bacillota, Bacilli, Caryophanales, Alicyclobacillaceae.